Molecule: RNase P RNA, 353 nt
Filed under: Peptoclostridium sp.
Lineage: Bacteria; Bacillati; Bacillota; Clostridia; Peptostreptococcales; Peptoclostridiaceae
Description: RNase P RNA component class A
Rfam family: Bacterial RNase P class A
About the family: Ribonuclease P (RNase P) is a ubiquitous endoribonuclease, found in archaea, bacteria and eukarya as well as chloroplasts and mitochondria. Its best characterised activity is the generation of mature 5'-ends of tRNAs by cleaving the 5'-leader elements of precursor-tRNAs.
Source: RNAcentral
UGAGUAAGCUGGAUAGUCGCGGAUGCCUUUGGCAGACGAGGAAAGUCCGAGCUCCGUAGGGCGAGGGUGCUGGGUAACCCCCAGUGGAGGCGACUCUAAGGAUAGUGCAACAGAGAGAUACCGCCAGAAGGUUUCGGCCUUUUGGUAAGGGUGGAAAGGUGAGGUAAGAGCUCACCAGCGGUUAGGUGACUAACCGGCUAUGUAAACCCCAUCCGGAGCAAGACCAAGUAGGGACUCAAAAAGGGGGCUGCCCGUCCCUGUCCCGGAGGUAGGUCGCUUGAGCCUUAUGGUAACAUAAGGCCUAGAUAGAUGACUAUUCAAGACAGAACUCGGCUUAUAGGCUUACUCACUCU